UCAGGACACUGGGUUCCCUACGAGCUGCCCCAGGCUUAAUGAUUGUCCAGAAGGUGGCUAUAAAGGGAGCCUGGGAGGCUGGGUGGAGGAGGGAACAGAGAAAGCCUAACUCAGCAGAUCUGGUCACUGAGAGAGCCACAGGCAGGAGCUGUGGUCGGAGGCUUCGUGUCUUGGCCAGUGGGGCCUGCUCCCUUCCACCAUGGCCGCCCAAGGCUACGGCUAUUACCGCGCUGUGAUCUUCUCAGCCAUGUUUGGAGGCUACAGCCUGUACUACUUCAACCGCAAGACCUUCUCCUUUGUCAUGCCAUCGUUGGUGGAGGAGAUCCCUCUGGACAAGGACGACUUGGGUGAGCCACGGAAGGGCAGGGUGGUGGGCCCUGGGACCCAGGACCCGUAGGACAAGUUGGUGUUGGUGGCAGUGUUGUGCAUAAAGGCACGUAGCGUGUGUGGAGCGUCUGCACAGUGGAGGGUAGGGAGAGUCGGCACACGCCGACCGGACUCUGAAAACCAUACGCCUGGCUGUGGGCUAAGCACCAGGAGUGUCGUCGAUACGCGUCUGAGGAGGGCUGCCUAUGUGAUGUGUCUUUGUGUGCCUGUGACCCACACGUGCCCCCACAGGUCUGGCUUAUUCCGAGUAUGUUUAGGGGGCUUCUGGGCAUGGUUUCCACACCUCGUGGGUGCGUGCUAAGACCACAGGGUGCACGCUGGCCACUGACGUCGUAAGCAAUGGGAACUGGAGACUUGGCACAGAAACUUCACGUGGCCCCGCACGCUACAUUUCAGGGGGAAUAACGUCCUUGAUUCCAAUUCUAAGCUCUUUGCCCCAUGCCCAGAGGUGGGGGUGACGGAACUGCUAGAAGCCCUGGGUCGGCAUCCAGGGUGAGGAGGAAAUGUAAUCAGGCAUGGGUAGAUCCCAGGGUGGGGCUGCCCUGUUCUCCCCUUCUUGCCCCCUGACAGCUGCAGCUGGAACUCUCCAGGUUGAAAAGUCAAGGGUCAGCCUGGGGCUAGCGCCGGCGGUGAGGAGGGGUAGCGGCGCCCCUGAAAGGGUGCUGGGAUUCCAACACAGGCUGCUUCUGGUCCCCUUGGAAGGAACCUAUCUCACCCUGCCAGGCACCUCUACACACGUGACCCCAUGCCUUCCUCCAUCCCUCCUGUGCCCUUGCCCUGGCCCCUAACCCCCUAGGUGUGCUGCUUCCUGCUCCCCUCCCCUGCAGGGCUCAUCACCAGCAGCCAGUCGGCAGCCUACGCCAUCAGCAAGUUUGUGAGCGGGGUGCUGUCUGACCAGAUGAGUGCCCGCUGGCUCUUCUCUUCUGGGCUGCUUCUGGUCGGCCUGGUCAACGUAGUCUUUUCCUGGAGCUCCAUGGUACCUGUCUUUGCUGCUCUCUGGUUCCUCAAUGGCCUGGCACAGGGGCUGGGCUGGCCUCCCUGUGGGAAGAUCCUGCGGAAGGUGAGUGUCUGCUCCCAAGAAGCCAGUUGAGACUGGCCGAGGGGAUACCUACAGGGCAUGUGGGAGUACCAGCACUCCCAUCCCCGAGCGGGUUCCUCGGGAGUUCCAGUCCAACUCCUGUUGCUCGUCGAGAUAUUUUAGGAGCUAAACAUGGUGGGAUCAGGUGGCAGAUGAGGGAAUUGGCCCUGCCAAGUAGAGGCGCCCUCUUCCUCGUCCCUGUAAUGUGAGCUUCUAGGUCUGCCCCUGCCCCACCUGACCCUCACCUUCAACAUGUUUAAUGUGGGCACCUACUCUGAACCCUCUGCCCCACAGUGGUUUGAGCCAUCUCAGUUUGGCACCUGGUGGGCCAUUCUGUCAACCAGCAUGAACCUGGCUGGAGGGCUGGGCCCUAUCCUGGCAACCAUCCUCGCCCAGAGCUAUAGCUGGCGCAGCACGCUGGCCCUGUCUGGGGCGCUCUGUGUAGUUGUCUCCUUCCUCUGUCUCCUGCUCAUCCACAAUGAACCCGCUGACGUUGGGCUCCGGAACCUGGACCCCGCCCCCUCCAAGGACAAGAAGGGUGAGCACGCACCCAGGCCGAAUCACUGGGGCACCUUCAUCCACCAUUCAUUUGGCAGACUUUCAUUGAGGUCUGGCUGUAUGCCUGGCCCUGUGCUAGCCGAUGGAGGCAGGGGGAGGGAUGGUGGUGGCAAGUUGGUGGGGAGUAAAUAAAACUCCGUUCCAAGAGACACUUAAGUACCAGACAAGCGGCAGAGCCAACAAAUGCUGUGUGACUCAUGUUAUAUCCCGGUCCUUCCUCACAGCAGAGCCAGACUUCCCUGUCCUGUCCUGGACAGCAUCCUAAGCUUAAGUGGCUUGGGUGCCUUCCUCCAUGUGCCCUGGUCCCGGUUUCAUUUGCUGAGGCCUGUAGUGGAGGGGACAGGGUAGAACAGUGGGUGAAGGGGUGCCUUCCUGCUGGUCCCUGGCUGUGUGGAUGGACUGUGGCCCUGUGGCUGGUUAAUGAGUGGUGGGGGCUCAGUCGGGGCAGAGCAGCAAGAGUGGAGCCUCAGGCCUGGCCUCCUCCUGCCCCCAGGCUCCUCGAAGGAGGAGAGUACUCUACAGGAGCUGCUGCUGUCCCCCUACCUGUGGGUACUCUCCACGGGCUACCUCGUGGUAUUUGGAGUAAAGACCUGCUGUACUGACUGGGGCCAGUUCUUCCUCAUCCAGGAGAAAGGACAAUCCGUCCUCGUGGGUAAGAUGAGUUUGGAACAGGGGUGGGCCUAGGGAGCAGGAGUCAAUGAAAGGGAUGGGAAGUUCAGGCCCAGCUUCUCUUUAUCCCUUCCUUCUUUCCCUGAGGCCAGGCACUACUCAGACAGCUGUGGUCGGUCACCCUUGGGGACCCUGUACCUCUCUGGGUUUAAGCCAGUCUGGGACAACCCCAGUGUGUAACACCCACCCUUCCUUUCCCUCUUCCCACCACAACUCCCUACUCCAGGUAGCUCCUACAUGAGUGCCCUGGAGGUUGGGGGCCUUGUAGGCAGCAUCGCAGCUGGCUACCUGUCAGACCGGGCCAUGGCAAAGGUGAGUGGGCAGACGGGACAGGAAGGAGGAGGGUCCCUUUAAACCUUCCCAGCGUGACUGGGACAGGCACCAGAGAGGCGGGAGCCCUGGGGCACGGGCAGGCUGGCAUAAGCCAGUUUAGGUUGGGGGAGGUUGGAAUGAUUCCAGGCUGCCGUUAUUCGCUGGGGGUGUGAAGGUUAAGACUCCUGGGGAAAAGGCUUUAAAUGAUGUCAAGGAGAGCUGGAAUGUCUCUCAGCCUGGCAGUGGGCUUCUCCACAGCCCCAGGAAAACUGGGGUUGAGGAGGAAGCAAGUGCAGCUUGCCAGCACAUGUCCCGACCCUGCCCCGUGGUGGAGGAAGGGAUGUUGUGGAGUUUGGCCUCUGAACACAACGAGCAGGUCCCGGGGCCUCCCAGAGCUGCCCGGGGCCAAGAGCUGUGGUGGGAUUGCCAAAGACCUGUCAGCAGAGGCCCUGCUGUAUCAGAGUCCAGGGGUGGAGGUUCUCUGCUGCUUUUAGGCCCUGACAUUGCUGGGACUGUAUCCACAGGCAGGCCUAUCCAUCUACGGGAACCCUCGCCAUGGCCUGUUGCUGCUCAUGAUGGCUGGCAUGACCGUGUCCAUGUACCUCUUCCGGGUCACUGUGACCAGUGACUCCUCCAAGGUAAAUAAGGAGGGCCUGGCCCACAGCAGGCACAAGGAUGAGAAAGCAAGGGCCGCCGACUCUCAGGCUUCCUCUCCCUGGCUCCACCCUGGCCCAGGCCUUUCUUUGCCUCUCAGAUCUCCCUUUCCAGGUCUGUCUUACCUCGUGUCCUCUUUGUACUUCGGUGCCCCUCCUGGACUCGGGACUUGGUUUCCUUUUCUUUCCUGUGCUCCUCUAGGAUGUUGCUUUCUGGACUCCAGCUCUUCACCCUCUCGCUGAGCUCACAGGCUUUACGGAGCACGAGGUGCCUUAUCUCUGGUUUUCUUCCUGGUUUGUCUUACCCUUGUCCUACUGUCUUCCUCGCCCCUAGCCAAUCCAGCUAGCAUGAGUUCUGAGAAGAGAUAGCAUCUAACUUGGAGGGACGGCUUCUGUACCUCCUUCACCUACCCACACAGGCCCUCGGGUUGGCUCGGUGUGGCACUCACUCCUCUAGCUCUGCCCUGUCCAUUGUAUCAGAAAGUGGGGUGAGGGAGGUCAUUUCCUGUGUCCUUAACUACAGUUAUUUGUUCUGUCCUCUGGCAGAGGUAGAUAGGUAGGUAGGCUCUCUCAAACUCUGAAUGCCACUCUGUGCUGCCCUUGCAGCUCUGGAUCCUGGUGUUGGGAGCCCUGUUCGGUUUCUCCUCCUACGGUCCCAUUGCCUUGUUCGGAGUUAUAGCCAAUGAGAGUGCUCCUCCCAACUUGUGCGGCACCUCCCAUGCCAUUGUGGGACUCAUGGCCAACGGUAAGCGGAGUCUCCACCUCACCCCUACUUGUGCCUCGCACUUAAGCCAGCUAUAGUCUGGGGCAGGCCCCGCCGGCCCUAGCCUCACAAAUGACCCAGACUCUUCCCCUCCUCCUUGGCAGUGGGCGGCUUUCUGGCUGGGCUGCCCUUCAGCACCAUUGCCAAGCACUAUAGCUGGAGCACGGCCUUCUGGGUGGCCGAAGUGAUCUGUGCAGUCAGCACAGUCGCCUUCUUUCUGCUACGAAACAUCCGCACCAAGAUGGGCCGAGUGCCCAAGAAGGCCGAGUGAAGACAGUACAGGCACCUGUGCAUCCUCUCCCACCUGUGGACCUUCCCCUGCACAGGGCUGGGGAGGUGCGGGGGCGGGGAGAAAGAAAGUGGGGCUGCUCCGGCUACCGAUGAACCUUGGAUCGCCUUUUUUGCUCCUUUUCCCUCGCCCAGGUGGCGCUGGAAGUUAUCAGUGGCUAAUGAGGUCCCAGCUCCCCAUCCUGUGCUCUAUUUAAAAGACAACUUUUGUUCUUGGACUUCAUUAGCUCCAAUUUCCUGCCUUCAAACAGGAAACCCCUACAGUGAGGGAGUCUCCAAUACCCUCUUCCUCUCCUGGACACUGCCCUACCCCCACCCCACCCCACCCCACCCCAUCCCCACAAGAGGUGAGGCUCCUCCUGUAGCUGCAGGGCACCAAUGGGCCAUGAUUUCUGCCCUAAGGCCUCUUAGCACACAGUGACUGUUCUUGCCAAUACCUCAAGAUUCCAGGCAGAGAGGAGGCCAUCACUCUCACCAAUACCCUGGGAACACGGGGGCCUGGGUGGGAGGGAGGAAGACUUGAUAAAGAGAUUAAAACUAGAUUUGAUACUAAAC
Molecule: long non-coding RNA, 5263 nt
Filed under: Lynx pardinus (Iberian lynx)
Lineage: Eukaryota; Metazoa; Chordata; Mammalia; Carnivora; Felidae
Source: RNAcentral